GUGCCAGCCGCCGCGGUAGUACGUAGGGUGCAAGCGUUAAUCGGAAUUACUGGGCGUAAAGCGUGCGCAGGCGGUUUUGUAAGUCUGACGUGAAAUCCCCGGGCUCAACCUGGGAAUUGCGUUGGAGACUGCAAGGCUAGAAUCUGGCAGAGGGGGGUAGAAUUCCACGUGUAGCAGUGAAAUGCGUAGAGAUGUGGAGGAACACCGAUGGCGAAGGCAGCCCCCUGGGUCAAGAUUGACGCUCAUGCACGAAAGCGUGGGGAGCAAACAGGAUUAGAUACCCUUGUAGUCC
This 292-nucleotide ribosomal RNA is filed under the name uncultured bacterium. Its description in RNAcentral is "partial 16S ribosomal RNA". It matches the Rfam family "Bacterial small subunit ribosomal RNA", at positions 505 to 796 of the family's 1533-position model. The record is from RNAcentral.